RNAcentral lists this ribosomal RNA (500 nucleotides) under uncultured bacterium. RNAcentral's name for it is "partial 16S ribosomal RNA". It matches the Rfam family "Bacterial small subunit ribosomal RNA", at positions 28 to 523 of the family's 1533-position model. The record is from RNAcentral.
GAUGAACGUUAGCGGCAGGCUUAAUACAUGCAAGUCGAGGGACAGCACAGGUAACAAUACUGGGUGGUAACCGGCAAACGGGUGCGGAACACGUACACAACCUUCCUUUAAGUGGGGGAUAGCCCAGAGAAAUUUGGAUUAAUACCCCGUAAUAUAGUUGAAUGGCAUCAUUUGAUUAUUAUAGCUACGGCGCUUAAUGAUGGGUGUGCGGCUGAUUAGAUAGUUGGCGGGGUAACGGCCCACCAAGUCUACGAUCAGUAGCUGAUGUGAGACAAUGAGCGGCCACAGGGGCACGGAGACAGGGGCCCGACUCAUAGGGGAGGCAGCAGUAAGAAUUGUUGGACAAUGGACGCAAGUCUGAACAAGCAAUGCCGGGUGAAGGAUUAAGGUCCUCUGGAUUGUAAACUUCUUUUAUUGGGAACAAAAAAGGGUCUUUCUAGGUAAACUGACGGUACCAGAUGAAUAAGCACCGGCAACCUCCGUGCCAGCAGCCGCCGUAA